CGACGUCUUCAGGGCGGGGUGCGAUUCCCCACCGGCGGUAGGUGCCUUCGGGCACGAGCCCGCGAGCGCUUCCGGUGCCAUCGGAAGGUCAGCAGAUCCGGUCCCAUGCCGGAGCCGACGGUUGGCAGCCAGCGAUGGCUUCCAGAAAGUCCGGAUGAGAGAAGACGGUA
Molecule: non-coding RNA, 170 nt
Filed under: Dyella jiangningensis
Lineage: Bacteria; Pseudomonadati; Pseudomonadota; Gammaproteobacteria; Lysobacterales; Rhodanobacteraceae
Description: FMN sequence
Rfam family: FMN riboswitch aptamer (RFN element)
About the family: The RFN element is a highly conserved domain that is found frequently in the 5'-untranslated regions of prokaryotic mRNAs that encode for flavin mononucleotide (FMN) biosynthesis and transport proteins. This element is a metabolite-dependent riboswitch that directly binds FMN in the absence of proteins.
Source: RNAcentral